This is a long non-coding RNA of Neofelis nebulosa (Clouded leopard), 5963 nucleotides long. RefSeq lists it as uncharacterized. The transcript is spliced from 2 exons. Lineage: Eukaryota; Metazoa; Chordata; Mammalia; Carnivora; Felidae. The record is from RefSeq and is a predicted model, not a curated record.
GCGCCCCUCUGCCAAGUGGAAUUUUUAUCCAAAGAUAAGCCUGUGUCUAAUACGUCUUUGGGUCUUUGGAUUGGAAAAUGAUGCAUUGAAUCUUGCGACUUCUUGGCAAAUGACUGUGGGUGCCGCUGCUGUGAGCACAUGAGGGGGGUGAUUUGAAUCUGAAGUGACCAGGAUGCUCAUGGGUCAGUGCAUGAACUCCAUGCCUAUAGCCCCACUAGGUCUGAAGCAGAUGAAGAUCCCCUGUGUGGAGAUGAAAUGAGGGGAAGGAGAGAAUGGCUGCUGUAUUGAAAGUCAAGGGCAGUGGUCUUUCAAAGGAAGACGUAGGAGAAGCAGAUCCCUAAGGUUGGGUACUGAGGGGCACUGGGCUCAGUGGGAAGGGUUGUAGUGAUAUCCAGCAGGCCCCUUCCCCAUCCUCCCUGAUGGACGGUUGGUGAGCAAGAUGGCAGGUGGGACAGGGCUAGGGAGGGAGGUAAAAUGGAGACCUAGGGUACAGUGAACAGAAUGGGUUCCAACACCUUUCACUUCCAGCUUUCACAGAUGCCCUGAACACUUGAAAGCAACAAGGAAGUUUUCAUUCCAAAGAGUGAUGCUGGUGUCUUUUUCUAGCCCCUCCCAAGUGGCACUGAUUGACCAUUGGCAACUGGCUCUUCAAACUCUCUUCCAAAGCAUUGCAUCUCUGUGUAGACACAUGAGGAAUGUAGUUCCAUCUGGAAGCAGGUUUCCUCUAAACUGUCUUGCCUCAUGUGCUCUUUUUCCUCUGCUCAUACCUCAGUCGCAUCAAAGCCCCAUAGGCAUUGUCCCUGGGGAUCAAGAAGCAGUCCACCCCAAAAGGAAUAGCAGAGACAUAAAGAAUUGGAGUGAGAGAGAGUUCUGGGCAGAUGCUCAAGGUGUGGGUGGCAGGUUGAGCCCACUGAUUUGUGACAUUCUGCAUUUCAGGUAGUGGGACAUUUCUAACGUCAAAAUCUUUGAAACCACCAGGGCUUUUUCUUGCUGGGUCUUGGCAAUACUCCUUCAUGUCAUAGGUUUAGAAACUCAGGCUAAAGAAAGUACCCAUGGAAAAGUGCCUGCCCCUGGAAAUGUUUAUGAUAGCUCUGCUCCUUCCUCUAUUGACUCAUAACUCCGCAUGCAUGGUCUCACCUGGCUGGGCUCAGAAAAUAGUUAUCUUAUUAUAAAAACAGUAAACCCUUGACUCCAUUAAAUAAUUAAAGCUUCUUAGACAUCCCAUCUAAAAGGUUUCCCAUUUUUCUUCCUGACAAAUUACUAAUUUGUGCAUUUCGAAGCAGAUGGAUUUAGUCAAAUUUCCUUUGUCAGUAAGUAUUCUGUGCAAUAAAUGUUUCCAGGUCCUAAAGGCGACUUUGCUCAGGUUCAAGCCAACAACCUCCACCCCCCAACCAAACAAAAAGGAAUGACCCCAGUUUGAGUUAGUCGUAUCCAUAUACAUGAAGAAUAUCCAUGAGUUUGAAAUGUUUUAAGAAUCAGGAAGGGUGGGGGAGAGGAGACAAGAGGAAAAGGAUGAAUUGCUUAUGAUUCUGCUCUUAAGGAGUGAUUUUAUGUCACUGCUCCCUGCUACUGGAAGUUGCCAUCCACCUCUGACCAAAGUACAAAGAACAUUUGACACAACAUAAAACAUGAAAAGAACUUUCAGUGGCUUAGUGUUCUGGCUGUGACUCAAAUGUGCAUGCCCAGGCAGGCUCCACAGUGGAGGUCUGGCUCCAUUGCUCUACUCUAGGAGGCUGAAGCUGAUGUGGUCCAUUAAUAUCACUCUCUUGUCAAUAGCAGUUUCCAUCGAUGGAAGCUGGACUGAUCCAAAUGUAGUCUUACUUCUGAAACAUCCAAGGAUUCUAGGUAGCUGCUUCUGUGUUUCUUUUUCCAACUAGACAGUGAAUUCCUUGAGGGAAAGGAUAAUGUCCAUUUGGUUUGCAUCUGUAGACAUCAGCUCAGUAAUUGGCACAUAAAGGCACUCUGAUAAAAAAAAAUUUUUUUUUAAUGAAAUGGUUUAAAAACAGCAAGAUCCUCUGUAAAAGUAGGACAUUAUACUCCUCUAGUUUUCUUCAGAGCAUAUAAAUAUUUGAUAGGAGGUUGCACCAGGACUGGGAUUCUGACUCCUAGUGGUGCCAGGAUCUGGGGCUCUGGGACUUAGAGACAGAAGAGAUGGACCCCUGGUUCCGUCAAGGACAAAGCUGAUGGGAAACUGGCAUGGGUGUUAGGAGGGAGGGUGAAUUAGUUUCCUAUAGCUGCUGUAACAAAUUACACCAAAAGAUGAGUGGGUUAAAACAACACCAACUUAUUAGCUUAACCAUUCUGGAAGUCAGAAGUUCAAAAUGAGUCCCCCUGGCUAAAAUCAAGGUGUUGACAAGUCUGUGUUCCCUGGGGAGGCUCUAGGGGAGAAUAGUUUUCUUGCAUUUUCCCAUUUCUAGAGGCCAUCUGCAUCGUUUGGCUCAUGGCCUCUGCCUCCGUCUUCAAAACCAACAUCUUCAAAUCUCUCUCUGACUCUUACCCUGACCCUCCUGCUUCCCUCUUUGACUUAUAAGGACCCUUGAGAUUACAUGGGGCUCAACUGGUUCCCCAUCUCAAGGUUACCUGAUUAGCAGUCUAAAUUCCAUCUGCAACUUUAAUUCCCCUUUUCCAUGUAACAUAACAUACUCACAAAUUCUGAGGAGUAGGGCAUGGAUGGCUUUUGAGGGGAGGCAUUAUUCUGUUUACCACAGAAGGGCACCUGGGUGGUCAUGGAGUCCAGCAUCCUCGUGCUACACUUGAGGAAACUCAAGCUCCAAGAGUUUAUUGGAAUUCCAACUGUUUUCCUCCACAGGAGAGUUAAGCUCACUCUAAGGCCCGACCGUCUGCACCCAGAGCCCUAAGCAAGACUCAGCAGGAGGCCCCUGGCCUCCUCUUCCUCCAGUUCUUUCUUCUACACCUGUGCCUCAUUGCUUUCCCACCCUGUCCAGGGGAGGGUGCCAGGGUGUGUGUGUGGGGGGUCACAGUACACCUGACCAUGUCCAGACUGGAUGGAGAGUGGCCAUUUCAUGGGGCCAGAGAAUGGAUUGGACGCAUCCAUAAGAGCCCUGUCAUUUUGGCAGAAGCGUGAGCUCUUAGAAGUACAGCUUCUGGAGGGAGGGGAGGAUAGGUGAUGGGUAUUGAAGAGGGCAUCUUUUGGGAUGAGCACUGGAUGUUGUAUGGAAACCAAUUUGACAAUAAAUUUCAUAUAUUAAAAAAAAAAAAGAAGUACAGCUUCUGGAGCCACCUGCGUGGCUCAGUGACUUAAGUGUCGGACUUCAGCUCAGGUCAUGAUCUCACAGAUCCUGAGUUCAAGCUCCACAUGGGACUCACUGCUGUCAGCUCAGAGCCCACUUCAGAUCCUCUGUAUCCCCUCCCCCUCGCCCCUCCCUCUCCUCUUUCUCAUAAACAAAUAAACAUUAAAGAAAAAAAGAAUGGGUGUCUGCAUGGCUCAGUUGGUUAAGUGUCUGACUUUUGAUUUCGGCUCAGGUCCUGAUCUCAUGGUUUGUGUGUUUGAACCCUGCAUUCGGCAGGGCUUCUGCGCUGACAGCGUGGAGCCUGCUUGUGAUUCUGUCUCUCCUUCUCUCUGUCCCUCUCUCUCUCUCUCUCUCAAAAAUAAAACGUUUUUUAAAAAAAAGAAAAAGAGAAAAAAAAAGAAGUACAUCUGCCAGUUGCCUAACUAGGACACUGAACUCAAGGGACUUGGGGCCUUAAGAAUCUGAAAGCCUGUAUUGUCCUUACUAGGAAGUCCAUAAAAGGGGGAACUAGUGGGUGAUCCCCAACUGGCUGGUUCACAACUGACACUGAUAUUGCUGCUGGGGCCGCUGCUGUGGGUUUCUCAGCCUGGAGACCCUGUUGGACCAUGGCCCAUUCUUGGCAAAAGAAGGUUCCGGCUGCCGAGCGUCCUUUGAGUAGAUGCUGGUGAUUCUGGCUCCAGAGCUCAAGUUUAAGGCAGUAGGUGGUCCAGGAGGCACAAGAGCAGGUCCCCAGUCAAGGCCAGGGCCAGAGGAGAAGACACAGGAGGACUUACUGCAUGAGACAUUUACUAGGAAAGAGCAAACCACCAUCUGGGGGAGCAGAGGACCAGGGGACGGGACAGGUCUUAUUCCUAAAGUUCCCUCCUUUCAUGUCACUCCGUUCUGUGUAGCUGGCCAGCCCCUUUACCUACACCACAGCCAACAAAAGCCUCUGGCCAAGGACACGAGGGCCCAGGACCUUGCUUGGAAUUCCUCAGAACCCUGGGAUGCAGCCAGUCUGGUGGGGGGAAGAUGGGGUGUUAAGGGUGGAUGGGACCACUGAGGAAGGCAGACCAGGCCUCUGGAGGCGGUUGACAUGGCUCCGUGAAGAACAAGGGGACCAUGGCCCCCUCAGCGUAGGGCUAUAGAGUUCCCCAUCUGUCUCCUGGCAGCUGACAGGUGGAGACAAGAACCCUGACCCGAGAGGUGAGUGAAAAGAGAAGCAAGGUAUCUUCACCCAGGGGAGAGCCCAUGUCCUCUGGCUGAGUGCCUGGCGAGGUUGGGAUCACCAUGAGCAAGUUCUACUUUGAUUGAAAGUCUCUAACCCAGGAUUCUGGACCAAAACCUCAGCAUCCUCUGAAGGAGACACAGCUGAGGAUCCGAAAGGGCAGAGAGAGCUUGCGAGGAAACGGGUGCAGGUGAAACUGGGGAGAACAGGUGGAAAUGGGUCAGGGAUGUGGCUGAGGCUGAGGUUGGUGGUUCCAGUGAUGAUGGAGGUCGAGGAAGAUGACGCGUUGGGGAUCAGGAUGUGCUUCUGAGACACAAUAUCGAGGAAGAAUGAGGUGGGGGUAUCGAUCAGCCUGAGGGAUAUUCCUUCUGCAGAUGGGCAGUGUUGAUGGAGCCCUGCCUUUUCAGUGGUGCUGAAAACUGGGCAGCCCCAGGGAGGAGAGAGGCCUUGUAUACUUUGUCUACACCUACAGCUGCAGACAAGAAGGCAGGGCACCCGCCUUUCCCCAGAAGAGUCAGUUGAGAAGGACAUAGCCGCCUCCCCUAGGGAGGCCCCUGCUUCCUUCCCGUCAGGGCCCUCCAAAGGCUGCACAACCCAGGCCCCCAGAAGUGAGCCCCCCUAAUGUGUAGUGGAAAAUGAAUCCUAAAGGAAGGCCAGACUGCCACCUGACGAGCACCCUAGACUGGAUGUCACUUGAAGCCUCCUGGGGCUCUGGCGCCCUGUGAAUCUCUUCCUCUUGGAACCUGGGCAACAGCUAUCUAGUGCCUUGCUGGGCCCCAGGCUCUCCUGCCAGCAGUGCCUGAGAUGGGAAGACUGAGAGCUAAGAUUAUCCUUUAGGAACUCAGUGUUCAAAAAUGUGCCAUGACCCAUGGUGGCCCUUUUUCUCUUGGGGCUCCAGAGAGCUUCUGAGCUGGACAGACUGGAAUAAGAGAACCCAGCAGAAAUGGAGGGAGAAGCAAGAGGUCCAGAGUCUGGGAAAAUGUCAUUGGAAAGUAGCUAGCAUGGAAAUGUGAGUUUCCCGCCCUCUACUAUUCUGAUAUUCUCAGGAGCUGGGAAGCUGGCAUAAAAAAUAGUCAAGGUUUUAAAGCUGCAAUGGACUAUAUUCUGUUUCUUUCAAAAUUCUUUUCACAUCCUCCCUGGCAGAGAGGCCUGCCUGCUUUCCUAUCAACACUGAAGAAUGUAUAGCAGCAUCUAUAUAUACACCCUGAGGUGUGCUCCCAGAGCCUGAUGGUUGGAGCUGCCUCCCUGGCUCUUUCUUCCCAUUGAUGGAAUGGUGUCUGUAAAAAUGUUUUGAAAAUAUGAAAAGUGGCAAAUUGGCCUUCAUGACAAAUAGAACUUAAUGUAACAUAUUUUACACGUUAAAUCUCCACGAACAAAAGUGAUCUCUAAUGUUUUCUUUCUCAGGGCAAAUUCCUUGGCAUUUACAUACCUUCAGUGUUUUACUGUGAUCCUGGCUGGUGGGGGGGGGGGAGUUAUCAUAAUAAAUAAAACAGCUUUCACCUGUA